UGAGGAGUGGGUCCAUGAGAGGACGGGGCUGUGAGGGCACAGGGCCCAUGAGGGGAUGGGGUCCAUGAGGGGAUGGGGCUGUGAGUGCCGUGGAGCCCCAGGACGGUGGGGAUGGUGGCUCCCCAGGAGCAUCCUGCUGGGGACGAGGCUGAGGGGAAAGGCGCAGCAGGAGGAAGGAGCAGAGCACGCUAGCAGGGGAACGGGGUCACUCCUCACACGGUUCCUUAUGGCAGCUGCUCCCAGCGGCCAGGGCCACCACGCUGGAUGCCCUGCAUGGAAUAGGGCUCCCCCAAUCAUACACAGUGCUGAGGGAACCCCGGCCUGGCCUGCUGCCUCACAGAGCCUGGAGGGAUGGGAUGGCCUUGGAGUCAGACAGAAGGCUUGGCAGAAGUCAUCCAGGCAGCUGAUACUCCAGGUCAGCACUGAAACUGCAGAAGAAAAGAGCAAAACUGCCACUUCUCACAAUAAGACUUGUCUGUUUGUUCUGACAAUGGCCUCACCUCAGUGAUACUUGCGCCAGCUCAGCCUCCACAGCAUUCAGAGAGUACAAAGAGCUUUUAUUGCCGUAUUUGGUGCUCACUCACAAGAGUUCCUUCUGGCACACAAAGUGCUGCUGCUCUGCUGUUGCCAGGAGAAGAGCCCCGGGAGCUGCUCUGUAAAUCCAGCUCGGAGCUGCUGUUCCUCCCGACUGGGCUGUGGAGCCUCCACUCGCCCACCGCAGGUGAGGAUUCACCCAGAAAUGUUUCAUGCAGCAGGUGACAAUUUCCUGGUCACUCCGCAUUUCCCAUGCGCACAGGCCAUCGUGUUCCACCGGGGUUCCUUCCCACAGGGAGCCAGGGUUGGCACUAAAUUAAAACUGCAUCUCCCAAAAAUCAGCACCGCUUGAAGGGAGUUCUCUUAAAUCACACCACGGUGCUUUCUUAAGUCACUUCCACCACUCUAAAACUGUGUUUUAUUUCUCUUUAGAAUUUUCCUAGACUUCUGGUCAUCUUCUGCUAGUUUUUUGUUUCUUUGCUGAGGAGAACUUCAUUUUUUUCUCCAUUUCUCUCAUGAUAAACCAUAGUUGCUGUAACCACUUAAUGCCUGACAAAGAACACAGAAAGCUUUUGUUCCCCAUCCUUGGGAUAGUUUUGACUCCCCUUUCUGUAACAUUUCCAACUUUUCAAAUAUCUUAUUUAAAGUAGCAUCACCACCACUGGAUGCUGUGUUCUUGCUUUUUCUAUCACCCAUCCUUAAUGCAAAUAAAUAAACUAGAAUAAUCUCUAUUCUA
Long non-coding RNA from Parus major (Great Tit), 1270 nucleotides. RefSeq lists it as uncharacterized. NCBI's taxonomy places the organism in Eukaryota, Metazoa, Chordata, Aves, Passeriformes, Paridae. The record is from RefSeq and is a predicted model, not a curated record. The transcript is spliced from 2 exons.